Molecule: long non-coding RNA, 407 nt
Filed under: Homo sapiens (human)
Lineage: Eukaryota; Metazoa; Chordata; Mammalia; Primates; Hominidae
Description: non-protein coding lnc-MRM2-1:1
Source: RNAcentral
CAAAAAUUUCCCUGAAUACGCAGGAAUAGUAUUCUGUGGGGAGGAUCUGCUGAAGGCAGACGUGUCGGUGCACAUUCCCAAGGCACUCUCCAAACACUAGAGGGAUCCAGCAGCGGAGCUGACGAUGUAUGAAGACUGCCUUUUCUCUCCUGUCGGCAUUCUGGAUUAGAGCUGAUUAUUCCCCCCACCGUUUCCUGCCACAGCCCUCACGUUCCCACCUGUAGCCCUGGCUUUAUUCUGCGUGUGUGAGAAUUCUGCUGUGUUCUUCUCCACCUGCUUCCAUCAGGAGGCUUUGCAGGACAGAGACCUUGUCUGGCUGUCCCUGCAGUGCCUCCCACCGGCUACACACAUUUCGUUUUUGUUUUUAUUUUUAUUUUACUUAUUUAUUUAUUGUGAGACAGAGUUUC